ACUACCCGCUGAACUUAAGCAUAUCAAUAAGCGGAGGAAAAGAAACCAACAGGGAUUGCCUUAGUAACGGCGAGUGAAGCGGCAAAAGCUCAAAUUUGAAAUCUAGCACUUUCAGUGUUCGAGUUGUAAUUUGAAGAAGGUAACUUUCGAGUUGGCUCUUGUCUAUGUUCCUUGGAACAGGACGUCACAGAGGGUGAGAAUCCCGUCCGAUGAGAUGCCCAAUUCUUAGUAAAGUGCUUUCGAAGAGUCGAGUUGUUUGGGAAUGCAGCUCUAAGUGGGUGGUAAAUUCCAUCUAAAGCUAAAUAUUGGCGAGAGACCGAUAGCGAACAAGUACAGUGAUGGAAAGAUGAAAAGAACUUUGAAAAGAGAGUG
This 372-nucleotide ribosomal RNA is filed under the name Nakaseomyces glabratus. RNAcentral describes it as "eukaryotic LSU rRNA". It matches the Rfam family "Eukaryotic large subunit ribosomal RNA", at positions 20 to 389 of the family's 3401-position model. Lineage: Eukaryota; Fungi; Ascomycota; Saccharomycetes; Saccharomycetales; Saccharomycetaceae. The record is from RNAcentral.